UUGACGCUAGAAGUACCUAAGAUUUCAAUCUGUUUUGAAAUAUCAAGCUGUCAAUAUUUUCAUCCAUUUUGCAAAUAACCAUUAAGGGGAAUUAAAAUGCAACAUUGCUCAAGGAUUGCCAGUACAUCAUCCACACAGGAGGAGAGAGAUUAGAGCUGCCUUGACAGCUGCAGCCUCACCCAGCUGCAGCAGAUGAGCUGCCCACAGCACUCAAGGGCAGGAUUGUGGAGAGAAAAGGAUGCAGACACAACACACUGCAGAAGCUAAAAAAAUACUGAAAUUGUGCCUAUUGGGGCACACACAAGUUUUUCACAGUCCCAAUUUUUGGUCAGAGACAAGCUCUCCCAAGUGGUGAAGUGCUCCCUCCAUUCUGCUCAUGAGCUGACAUAUCAAACAUGACCCAGGGCUUUUUUAAUUAGCUCUUUGUGACUCUGAAAAUUCUUAGAGAUUAAUAUUGAGGGCCAAGCCUGUGGUUCAAAAUUUAUCUAGCCAAGAGAAGAAUUAUUUCUUCUGUAUGAAUAUCUAUCCGUCUUUUGCUUUAAAUUCAGUUUAUUAGCCUUAAUUUGACUGAUGAAAAAUCAAAUCAGUCACAUGGUUCAAUUAAAAGCAGCCAGACAUGUUGGGCUUUUUCCUGUGCAUAUGUAGCUCACAAACAAAGAGAAUAAUAUAAUAAUGGCCAAAGCAUUUGUUUGUAUUCAACAGAAGAAGAAUACAUCAGACUAAAGCAAUCCUGAACUAAGUCACUCUAGGAUGCAAAGCAGCAGAGUUAAAUUAGAUCCCCUAGGAAUUUAACUUCAAACCUAUUGUGUUUUCAGGAUGCUUUUAAAAGUCAAUAGAUCUCUUGAAAUACUUUAUAUACAACCAACAGCUGGCUGCAAAGCAGCUAAAUCCGUUUCAGGGUGGUUCGUCCCAGCCUGGGAAUGGCUAAAAGGAGCAGGAGCACCAUGUGGUGGUACAGUGACCCCCUGCCCUCCCCAGCACACAGCUCCAGCCAGGCUGGGCAAUCCCACUCUCCUCAGAACCCUUUUAUCAGCUCUAAACUCUGGAACACGUGAAAAAAAUGCCCUCAGCCAGCCAGGGGCAGUCACUGCGGCUCUGGCAGGACAAUGGUUUGUACUUUGCUCAGCUUGAUUAAGAUUUCUGCUCCUUUCUUCCCCAAAGCCCACGGGAGAGUGGUGUUUUCAUAGAAUUACAGACUGGUUUGGGUUGGAAGGGACCUUAAAUCCCAUCCAGUGCCACCCCUGCCAUGGCAGGGACACCUCCCACUGUCCCAGGUGCUCCAAACCCUGUCCAGCCUGGCCUUGGGCACUGCCAGGGAUCCAGAGACAGCCACAGCUGCUCUGGGCACCUGUGCCAGGGCCUGCCCACCCUGAGUAAAGAAUUUCUAAUAUCUACCCUGCUCUCUUACAGCUUAAAGCCAUUUUCUGCUCACUUACAUAAAUACAGAGCAAAGGAUAAUCUUUUGUUUCCCCUUUUAUUAGGCAAAACACCUCCCAUCCCUGAAGGUUAGCCCUGGGCCAUACACACACUGCCAUUACACCUGUAACUAAAAACCUUCCUGCAGCACAUGUGGAAAUUAAAAUUAAAAACCUUCCAGUGGCCCAGGCAUGAGGCCUUGGGCACCACCAGCCCCUGCACAGCUGAACACAGACCCAUCCCACCCAGAAUUUGGAAAGAGGAACCCACAAUUUUGAUUUCUUACAGAGCCCAGAGAUGAUAGAGCUCAGGAGGGGCACGGUGGCUUUGGCAAAUGUGUCUCAAAGGUGAUUCUUGACAUUUGCAGAUCACUGACUGUGGCUUAUUUAAAGCAAGAAUCAGAGAAGUGUGACAAUGAGGCAUUGAAGUGCCCUGUGGAUGAAACAGCAGCAGGUGUGGAUGUGAGAUCUCGGCCAGAACCCUUGGGGCUGCUGCACUGCUCUGCUCAGUCUCCUUCCCUUAGUUUGGACCCUCAGGGCCCAGGAGAUUCUCCCAGGAUGAACAGCUGUGCUGGCAAGCUGACAAGAGGACCUGGCAAGUUAUAAACUUGUCAGUCCAAGUUCAGAGAGUUUGCAGCAGAUUUGCAGAAACUCUUUGCUAAAUAGAGCAGAUGAAAUAUUAUGCUAAAAGUUUUCUUUUUUCCUUUUACCCAAGGAAAUCCCCAAUUCAUCAGCAGGGCCAGAGUGUGACACCACAAAUUUCCACCUGAACUUUUGUCACCUGUGAUGUGAGAGUUCAGACCCUUAGGUCUGCCCAGCAAUUCCUAUAAUGGAGAAGUUUUUCCACAUGAAGAAAUUGCCACUGGGAAGCUUCACAGCAGGAACUGAGUGUGCUCCCAACAGAGAGAGGUCAGCAUCACAUUCCCACAGCACUGGGGUGCUGCUCAUUGCUGUGCUCACAAGAAGCUGGCAAGAAGGUGAACAAUGAAGAGCGAGGUUCCUGUGCCAUCACCCAGGGAAGUGCAGAACAUUGGCUACGAAGAGCUACAGGAUUUCAUUUCACUCAGCAAGGGACUGAGAGCUCCAAACACGUCUGAUUGCAGUGACUUACAAAGAGAGGCACUGGGAAAAUUGUAAUUCUGCUUUCACAAGGAGGAGUGCUACUACCCACAAAUGGCAUCUUGGCACUGUAACACCUGUAAGAAGGGUUAGCUUGAUAUACUGCAGCUCUUAAGAAAGGCAAAUUCAGUGCUGGGAAUUAUUAAGAAAGAAAUAAUAAAACAUAAUUAUGCCAGAACAUGAACGAACUGAAGAUCCAGUUUUUCAUUCCAUGUCACAUUCCCAGAGGGAAAGAGGAAACAGAAGUAUGGAAGCAGGAUUUCACUUUAUGGGUGUCUCUCCCCAGCAUAUCUGUAACUAUGGCAUUCUCUGAAGCAGAUCAGAGCCAUAACUGGCAAGCACAUUUCACUUGAGUAUUCAGAAGUUGUAACUGAGGGAACAAAUAGGAUAAUGAGAUUAUUUCCAAAACAAGUGGAUAAUCACCAGGUAUGACACAUCUCUGCAUUUUAAGGGAAAUUAUUAUUCUACAGCUUGGAUGGAAUUCUAAUUCAGAUCCAUUCCAACAGACACCCAAACUGUGUACCUGAAACUGAGGCUGUCUAAGCAACUGGGAACAGCAGGUGCCUGCUCAAUAAAGACUUAAUACAGAGUAAUUAAGUAAUUAAGAAAAAGAACCAAACAGGCCUGUUUUCCUUCUGCUCUUGCACAGGUAGGACUGGUUCUGUCUGCCAAGUUCUCCCUCCACGAGGAGAGUUCAGAUACCAGCAGGCCAUGGCCAGUAACUGAGACCCAAAGCAGAAAUCUGGGAGCACAUCCAUUGAUGGGUGCUACCUGCUGGAGAAGUCUUCUGUCUCAUACUUACCACACAGGGAAUUUGAGUCAGGAAUAGACAAUCCUUAGAUUUCAAGCCCUGGGCUGAAUGUCACUGCUCAGUCACUUCUGCCACAGGAAGAGGCAGCUGCAGAGGUAAGAGGUGAGUUUUACAGUCCAUCAGCUCUCCCAUGGUGGCUGUGUAGAGGCAUUUGGGGUAUUUGCUGGCAGUGCAACUCACUCCAUGGUCAGUGGAUGUUUCCACAGGACAGCAGUGUGACAUUCACCCCAGGGAUCACCUCAGCAGAGCCUUCAGACCUAUCCCACCUAUCCCAUACCUGAACAGGAGCUCUCAUCCUGGCAAUGCACCUCAUGCACAGGGCAGCAUCUACCAACCAUCCUGAGAUAGUAAUUAAUUAACUGUUCUCUGUAUAAAACCAUCCAGUUCACUGAUAAAUGGACAAUGGUGCAAACCGUAAUAACAAAUAAAUUAUCCACUGCUGUCUCAUAGAAUCCAGUGCUGACCCAGGUCAUCACUGAAACUGCAACAGCUUCUCGUAAUGAACACUAAUUGGAAAACAAUAUUAAUGAGGCAGUAAGUGCCAUUACUAAAUCCAUUCUGUUGUCAUCAUUAGGCAAGUCAACAGUCCUGUUCUGCGCUAAUUAGGUCAGAUAGCAGAAGCUCGGAAAGAAGAACAUUAACCAAGUGUAUCUGGAGCAUUCCAGAGACAGCCAGAAGGGAUUUCUGAGUACUCAUUGCCUAUGGAAUUUUGGAAUCCCCUUAACAAGUCAUUCCAGUUAGAUCAAGAUCCAUUGGUUUAAUCCUUUCCCUCACUCUCUCUAGUAAAGCACAAAGCACUUUGUCAAGUUUUCAGCUGAGGCCAAGUCAGCAAGUUUGUCCUGUUUUGCUCAUGCAGUAAUGCUGAUUUGCUGUCCUUCUGAUAGGGGACAACUUCUCCUCACAGGUGACUCUGGUCCAAUUCAAAGCCACUCUGUUUCAGUGCUACAAGGCUGAAAUUUAGAUUCUCCAGCCUUUUUCUUUUAACAGGCACCAAGGACAUUUAAGUACAUUGUUGGGCCAGCAUCACACUGACUUGUGCUAAAUUUACAAACUAAAUUCCCAUGGCUUGUAACUACUGGAAUGACACCUGCCAUGAUUACCCAUACCUGAAGUUUGUAAACUACCAAAAAGAUCCUUGUUCAUCCCAGAUUAAAUCCAGGAUGGUUGCAGUCAACUGACCCUAAAGGCCCCACGAGCUGAACUAAGUGCCCUCUGGACAUGUUGUGCUUGUCAAGGCAACAGACAAAAAUAAAAAAAACCAAAUCAAAAUUCUUUGUUAUCUCUCUGCUGAAGCUGGGUUGAUGACAGGAGUCAAAUUCAAGUGGUUGUUUUUUAUUCCAUAGUUCUACAGAAUACUCCUUUCACUAGCCUUGUCACAGUGUACAUGAGAAACAUUUUUCAGUCACUCAAACAUACCCUUUGUAGUUCUUGGGGGUUUUGUUUGGUUUUCAUAAUUUUUAGAAAGUAAAAAAUCAUGUCAGGGACAAAUUAAAAGGGAUGAGUUUGGCUGAUCACAUUUCUAUCAAAUGACAGGAGUCAAAAACGUCAAUGCACUAAUCUGUAAACAUUUCCCCAACAACUGCAGGAAGGAGAUGCAGCUGAAGAAGAGUUGGGUACUUACUUGGUUAGACCCCCAACCCCACCAUUUGUACCAAAGAUCAUCUUAAGCACGUAUCAACAACUGCCAACCAUUAGUCAGCAUGCUGAAUUUAAAUAUUUCAACUCCUCAAAUAAAGAAAUGAAAUUAAUCUAAAAAUAUUUUAAUGUAGCAAGCUUGGCUAUAGAACCAGUGCAACAUAAAAACGAACCAACUUUACUGCUUAACACAGUAAGCUACAGAUGCAACAGAUUCACCACAAGUUAUUUGGUUAAAUUAAAUACUGAAGUUAGGAUCAUGCUGUUGGUAAUUCUGGUUUUACAGUACCAAUGCUCAAGUUGGCUGAGUUAGUUUGACUGUAAGGAAAAUGCAAGUUUACAGAGAAACAAAAUAAUUUAGUAUAGUAUCCUGUAUUCUGUUCCAUGCUAAGUCACAAUGAUAAUGUCUUCAACAGAUAAACAACAUUUCAGCAUUAUGUAAAUAAUGCCAAAAAAUACAGGAAUUGUAAUGCCAAAUUUACAACAUAAUACAGUGCUUAACAAACAGAUUCCUCAGGCAUGGGGGCAGUGGUGACAAUGCUAAACAGGACUAGAAGCAUCCAAGCCCUACUCAGUGCAUACACAGUGGACCACACUGACAGGAAUGCUUUACCUUUUGAUGGAAUUGUCACUCUACGAGUUUGUGUCCCAAACAUGAUGCAGUGGAAAAGAAAUGUUAAACCCUUGCCUCAGACAUGAAGCAAAAGCACAUGUUAUUUACAAACAUGAACCAGUAAAACCACAUUAAGUAAGACCAGAGAAAAACUGUGAUCACUUGACAGAGAUGGCAGAGCUUGGUUACUGUACUGUGUGAACCAGGACGGUAAUGAAGUUGUAAACAAAUUUAACCAAAUUAGGUUAAUGCAUCUAUUCUUAACUCAAGAAUAUUGCCAUUUCAGCAGACAGUGAUUUUUAAAGCUAAGGACAUUAUCAGAGGUUUUAUUUUUGUUUAAAGCCAAAACUUUAAAAGCCAGGAAGAUGGCAAAUUAUUUUUGUUCCUUAUUAGCCUUCACUAACAGCACACUUGAACAAAAUUUUCAAACCCCCUGAUUUUAUCUAAUUCUGCUCCAACUUAAGUAGCUGGUAGCAAAGUUGAAGCAGACACACCAGCACCUGAACAUCCCUUUCAGAGAGGCUUGGUUUACACCACUGGGGAUGAGUUCAGAUUGCUACACUGAACACAAAACACUGAAGCCUUAGGUCUUACUUGAAAAAGAAACACUUCCUCAAAAUUAAACAGGCUUUGCAAAUGUGCAAAGAAAGACACAGGAAAAUCAUAUUUGAUUCUGUCAAUCCCAGCAGUGUCAAACUCAUUUUUCCUCCCCACCCUCCAACCAAACCACACUGCCAAAGUGGCUGGAGAGACACGGAUUAAAUACUCUGACAUAAAGCCUGGAUACAAAACAAACUUUGUCCCUGCCGCAUCUUAUUUUUUUAUUUUUUUCUUGCAUUUUGUAAUGAACCCAUACAAGCAUGAAGGGAGUUGUGUCAGUAUUUUGUCUUGUUCUUUAAAGCAGGCAUAAGAGUUGUGCCAGACAAAACUGAACAAACUUUUAUUUCGCUUCAGAAAGAUUUUUUUUUAUAUUACCAACCUAUUUCUCUUCAUAACUAAAAGUGAUAAAAAAUAAAUCCAUAGCAAUGGAAAAAAAAAAAAAA
Molecule: long non-coding RNA, 6636 nt
Organism: Taeniopygia guttata (zebra finch)
Lineage: Eukaryota; Metazoa; Chordata; Aves; Passeriformes; Estrildidae
Source: Ensembl